CUAAGACCUAGGGCCUGACUGCAGGCGUUUGCUGCAGGCGUUUCUGUGCUGAUCAAGAGCCACAGAAAAAGAGGUCAUAUUUGAGCAUAAAUCGAAGUUUUAAAAGGGAAAUAGGAUCAAACUGACUCAUUUUUGGAGAUGAGAAAGUGUUUCUUUACCAGGGGGCUUUAGCAGCAUCCAAAAACACCAUCCUUGGAAUCAGGAGGGAGAAAGCAUGACCACAGCUUCAUUCCAUUAAGAGCUACUGUGUGAAAUAUUUACAGAUGAAAUGAUGCCAAGCCUGGGAUCUGCUUCAAAAUAAUCCUGGGUAUGCAGUGGAGUGAAGGUAAAACCAGACCAUGAUGCAAUCAUUGUUGAAGCUGGAUGAAAGAACCAUUCUCUGGAUGGGAACGUGUAACAGUGGUGUUCUUUGGAUUGACUGAGCUAAUUUAAAAUGUUGGGACUGCAGGAGCCUUACGCAGAGUAUAGAAAUCCUACACUGGCACGAUUAUAUGGCAAGGAUUUGAAAGGCUUAUAACAAAGAGCAAGAACUUCCAUGGAAAAUCACUGUAAAGAUUCACAAAAAUUAAGAACAUCUCUCAAUGUCUGGGACUAAAACCAAACAGGGACCCGAGAAUCAGGGCUGAGCCGUGUUGGAAUCUUGAUCUUCUGGCAGAAAACUCUUCUAAAACCUUCCAACAUGACACCGCUUGUGUAUAGGUGUUCCAAACCGAAUGUCCAGUUAUUUCCACCAUUGUGCAAAAAUGGGAGACCCUGCUGAGCAGCAGAUGGCCCUCAGCGAGGCUGACACUCAGGCCAGGCCCCAGGUGGCAGCUCUCAGAACACACUGUCCAGUUAAACCCUGCAUAGACUAGCCACAGAAGAUACCUGGUGUUCACAUCCCCCAAAAGUUGGCCAAAUGACAGGGUCAUGAAGUACACUUCAUGGGUUAGUAGGGAGAACCAGCAUUUCAGAAGUAUGCAAAUCACUGGGUCCCCGCUGUCAAACACUGCAAAUAUGUAGCAUGCUAAGAAAAGAAUCUCCUUACCUCUCAGAUUCUGUAUUGCUCACUUCAUCUGAGUUGCUACAAUGGACAAUAAAAUCUAAUAAGUUAAAAUAAGGUGUGGAAUGCUCAGGAGAAAAACAAAGACUAGUGCUCCUCAUCUGAGUGAAUAAUUUCUCUCACAGAGUUUAUUUUAGCUUUGCAAGUUUUUUAUUUGUGAUAUUUUAAAUUGGAAUUUGUGCAUGUGUGAUUUAAAAUAAAAAAGGCAAUCAAGUCUUUCUGCCAAUCUAGGUGAUGUGAAAUUUAAUUAUGGAGCAGUUAUUAUUAAAACAAAGGCAAAGCAAUUUUUUACACAUAGUUCAAUAUUCCAGAAGAGAAUUUCUGAAAAAUUCAAAGGUCCAAAAGACAACUUCUCAGUGAGAAUGACUGUUUCAAUGAGAUAUCCUAUUUUGUAGUAUUGGAGCCCCAGAAUUUCUAGUUAGACAUUAAUAAGUCUUGCCAGAAUUGCUAUAGCUCAGUUUUGCCGUCUGCAUCUAGAAAUAUGGAAGACAGCUAUGUUACUGGUUAUGACUCCACAGUAAUGAGUAAUGAAAAUUUCUACAUCAACACCAGUGUGACUCAGCCUGAUUUACCUGGAAAACAUUACUGUUAUACAGAAUCCAAAGAAAUAAAUACCUCAAUCCAUUCAGGAAUGUUCUUUUCCCAA
This is a long non-coding RNA of Callithrix jacchus (white-tufted-ear marmoset), 1688 nucleotides long. RefSeq lists it as uncharacterized. Lineage: Eukaryota; Metazoa; Chordata; Mammalia; Primates; Cebidae. The record is from RefSeq and is a predicted model, not a curated record.